Molecule: ribosomal RNA, 482 nt
Filed under: uncultured bacterium
Lineage: Bacteria
Description: partial 16S ribosomal RNA
Rfam family: Bacterial small subunit ribosomal RNA
Source: RNAcentral
AUUGAACGCUGGCGGCAUGCCUUACACAUGCAAGUCGAACGGUAACGCGGGGCAACCUGGCGACGAGUGGCGAACGGGUGCGUAAUGCAUCGGAACGUGCCCAGAAGUGGGGGAUAGCCCGGCGAAAGCCGGAUUAAUACCGCAUGAGACCUGAGGGUGAAAGCGGGGGAUCGCAAGACCUCGCGCUUUUGGAGCGGCCGAUGUCAGAUUAGCUAGUUGGUGGGGUAAAGGCCUACCAAGGCGACGAUCUGUAGCUGGUCUGAGAGGACGACCAGCCACACUGGGACUGAGACACGGCCCAGACUCCUACGGGAGGCAGCAGUGGGGAAUUUUGGACAAUGGGCGCAAGCCUGAUCCAGCCAUGCCGCGUGCGGGAAGAAGGCCUUCGGGUUGUAAACCGCUUUUGUCAGGGAAGAAACGCUCUGGGCUAAUACCCUGGGGUAAUGACGAUACCUGAAGAAUAAGCACCGGCUAACUACGUG